This 473-nucleotide ribosomal RNA is filed under the name uncultured bacterium. RNAcentral describes it as "SSU rRNA". It matches the Rfam family "Bacterial small subunit ribosomal RNA", at positions 26 to 518 of the family's 1533-position model. The record is from RNAcentral.
AGGACGAACGCUGGCGGCGUGCUUAACACAUGCAAGUCGAGCGGAAAGGCCCUUCGGGGUACUCGAGCGGCGAACGGGUGAGUAACACGUGAGCAACCUGCCCUUAGCUUCGGGAUAGCUCCGGGAAACCGGAAUUAAUACCGAAUAUGACUUUGGCUGACAUCAGCAGAAGUGGAAAGUUUUUCGGCUAGGGAUGGACUCGCGGCCUAUCAGCUAGUUGGUGAGGUAACGGCCCACCAAGGCGACGACGGGUAGCCGGCCUGAGAGGGCGACCGGCCACACUGGGACUGAGACACGGCCCAGACUCCUACGGGAGGCAGCAGUGGGGAAUAUUGCGCAAUGGGCGAAAGCCUGACGCAGCGACGCCGCGUGGGGGAUGAAUGCCUUCGGGUUGUAACCCCUUUCAGCAGGGACGAAGCGAAAGUGACGGUACCUGCAGAAGAAGCGCCGGCUAACUACGUGCCAGCAGCCGC